CGUUGAUCGACCGAGCAAAACUAUACACAAACAGCGAACAUGGAAUGAAUUCGCCGGCAUGUUACGUUGCUGAAUUUUUAAUCGGUAAAGUUUUAUUUUCAUUUUCUAUUAACUAGGUAUAUACACAAAUCAACUGACCGCUUUGUGAAUAUAGUAUACGAUUUCAAUUUUCGAAGUGGCUAUUUCGAGGGAUGAACAAAUUUUCAUGAAAAUAUCGAUUCCACAGAGUACAAUUGUCGUAGCCAAGGAAAAUGUCUAGGAGGCACUAAUAAUAAUUUUAAUUAUUACCUACUAUACUUUUUAAAAUUAUAUAAAAUACACCGAAACAACCUAAAUAACCAUGAUAAAAAAAAAAACGAUUUCGAGAAGUUUAGAGAAGUAGCACUUAAGGCAAUGGGGGCACAUAUCCUCGGAUUCGGCAUUGCUGCGGUACAUUAUAUUAGUAAUCAAUUUAAUUUUAAUUUCACCAUAGAUCCGGAAAUCAGAGUACUCAACAAUCUACCGAGUUUGCCGUACACCGAAUCCUUCAUGAUAGCGUCGUGCGACAAAAAUGAGAAAUGUCUGUACAUUACAGAUACAUAUGGUACCAUUUCUCAUGUCCUCGUGAGUAUCUAUAAUAUAUACGAGUAUUAUGUUUUAAAAUUAAAGCGAUACAUUAUAAUUAUGAUUUUCAUAUCGAGGCCAGCGCAAUCGGAAGAAACAGCGAUGUAAUCACGAAUUUUUUACACAACAAUUAUUCGUCGAUCAGUCCGGGCAUUUUGGGUGCUAUUGAAUUCGCUCUGAGAACACUAUGCGUAGUUAUUGAACCGAAUUCGAAUUUCAUAGAGGUUUCAGUGACCGCGUUCGGUAGGCCAUUCGAAGUAAAUAAAAUAUUACCGGUGUCUGGUAUAAUAGUAUUAUUUUUAUGUAUCUACCUAUAUACCUUUGGUCAUAAUAAUAAAAAUUACAAUCAAAUUGAAAAGCUUUAGGCUAUGUAAAAUAGCAUAGGUACCUACUAGUGGCAUAUUUAAGAUUUUUUCAAGAAGGGAAAAUAUUAAAUUUAAAAAUUGUGUAGGCGUACCAAAAUUGGAAAAAAAUGAUCCACUUUUUUUUUAAAUUUUUAAAUUUUUAAUUAAUUAAUUUUUAUAAAUAGUUUAUAAUUUCAAUCUGUGCUAAAAUUAUCGUUGAAAUCAAAUAACUUGAUAAAGGAAUUAGAAAAAAUUAUUAGUUUCAUUAAUAUUAUUAUUAGGUACUAUUGGGAAUAUUUUUGAAAAUAUACAAUAAUAAGAAACUGUGUGUGGUGUAUUUCGUAUUAAAUCAAAUCUUCUUUGUACUCAUAUAAUAGGUUCCUACAUGUAUAUAGCUGCAUACAACACUUACCACAAUAUUUAUGAGAAAUUUUUUUGACAAACAUUCUAAGUAAACGACGGGUUUUUAAUUAAUUACAAAAACCAAAUGUAUAAUAUAAGAUAUUCGUACCAAAAAAAUAACAAAAAAUAAUAAUAAUAAAAAAUAUAUCACUGUAAAACGAAAUGUUCCCUUAUUUUCUUCGAAUUCAGAAUAAAAUAUAGGUAGCACGUUGAAUUUAAUUAAAUAGAAAUUGGAACGAUAUAUAAAAAUAAUUCUUAAAAUAUAUCAUUUAGAACCCACUUUAUGAAUAUUUAUAUAUUUUAAAUUAAAAUCAAGCCGUAAUAAAUUAAUUUGAGACAAACUGUUUAUACUGCAGGUUUUUUUUUUUUUUUUAAUUUAAUUUUACAAAAACCGUUUAUAAUUUGCACAGCUGAAUACAAUGAGCGUGUGUAUACAAUAUUAUUUAUGAAAUAUUAACAUUUCAAAUAUUAUAUUAUUCUCGUAUUAUAACAUCAUGCAGCAUGGCAUAUUUAGGAUUUUAUUAAGAAAAGAGGGAUAUUUGAAAAUUGUAUCAAACCGCAUAACGUGUGUGGACUAAAAAGAAAAAAAAACCGUUUAAUUUUUAAUUAUAUAUUUUUCUAAGUAAUAUCUGUAAUUUAAUCGGCCAUUAGAUUAGCUAUAUUUGUUCAAUAUCAUUCAUACGGGGUGAUCAGUAUAACGAAAGACACACAUUAUUUCGGAAAGUUUUAACUUUUUUCGGGAUAUGUUUUUUAGAAAGGGUCUAAGGGAGAGAUAUAUCUCUCUAAUUUCCCGCCCCAAAUACAUUGUGGAUGGAAUAAAAAAAAAAAAUACCUAAUUAUAUGGUAGUAGGUUAUCUAUAUCACACACUUGUGUUUUUAUAGUGUUUAAAAUCUACACCUUAGCAUUUAUAUUGUCCAUUUUAUGUUGUCAGUCGAAACAAUUUAAUAUAGUACGUUUAUUUAACUUUAACACUGAAUCAUUUAUUGUAUUAUUUUAGAUCGUUGAUGAUAGCAUAGUCAACCUACACUUGGCAAGAAUAAUAUCGACGAG
Molecule: non-coding RNA, 2400 nt
Organism: Cinara cedri
Lineage: Eukaryota; Metazoa; Arthropoda; Insecta; Hemiptera; Aphididae
Source: the annotation of a GenBank genome assembly